GCUUUCGUGGUGUAAUGGUCAGCACACUUGGCGCGCAUUCCGGAGGUUCGAGGUUCGAGUCCCGGUGAAGGCA
This 73-nucleotide transfer RNA is filed under the name Stegodyphus mimosarum. It matches the Rfam family "tRNA". From Rfam's summary of the family: Transfer RNA (tRNA) molecules are approximately 80 nucleotides in length. The record is from Rfam by way of RNAcentral. Lineage: Eukaryota; Metazoa; Arthropoda; Arachnida; Araneae; Eresidae.